This 657-nucleotide ribosomal RNA is filed under the name Triticum aestivum (bread wheat). RNAcentral describes it as "partial small subunit ribosomal RNA". The record is from RNAcentral. Lineage: Eukaryota; Viridiplantae; Streptophyta; Magnoliopsida; Poales; Poaceae.
AUGCCGGGCAUGAAGGUGCCGGACAAGUUCUCGAUCGACUCCACCAACCGGAGCGCGGGGGAGUGCGCGGCCAGGUGCGCCGCAACCUGCUCGUGUGUGGCGUACGCGUACGCCAACGUGCAGAGCAGCAGCACAGAUGGCCAACUGAUCAAGUGCGUGGUGUGGGCGGAGGAGCUCGUCGACGCACAGAUGAUGGGCGCGCGGUGGGGCGGCGAGACGCUCUACCUCCGCGUGCCCGUUGCUGCUGCCUCCACAGCCCUGCCCAACACAGGUAGAAACUCCAGCAGAAGGGGGGUGAAGACAGCCCUGCCGGUGUUAUCAUCCGUCCUGCUGCUCACAUGCAUUUUGUUUGUAUGGUUCUGGAGAUUCAGAGAUCACAACGGAGACCUUGAGUUCCCGUCCAUACGGUUCGCCGACAUUGUCGCCGCCACGGACAACUUCUCCAAAACACUCAUGGUCGGACGCGGAGGGUUCGGCAUGGUCUACAAGGGAACAUUAGAUGGCGGUCAGGUCGUCGCGGUGAAGAGGCUGAGCAAGGACUCGGAUCAGGGAGCAGAGGAGUUCAAGAAUGAGGCCAUUCUAAUCGCCAAGCUGCAGCACCGGAACCUGGUGCGCCUCCUCGGCUGCUGCUCUACCUACACCAGGACUCGAGGCUAA